RNAcentral lists this ribosomal RNA (1103 nucleotides) under Chaetomium globosum. RNAcentral's name for it is "LSU rRNA". It matches the Rfam family "Eukaryotic large subunit ribosomal RNA", at positions 304 to 1433 of the family's 3401-position model. Lineage: Eukaryota; Fungi; Ascomycota; Sordariomycetes; Sordariales; Chaetomiaceae. The record is from RNAcentral.
UUUCUUCUAAAGCUAAAUACCGGGCCAGAGACCGAUAGCGCACAGUAGAGUGAUCGAAAGAUGAAAAGCACUUUGAAAAGAGGGUUAAAUAGCACGUGAAAUUGUGAAAGGGAAGCGCUUGUGACCAGACUUGCGCCGGGCGGAUCAUCCGGUGUUCUCACCGGUGCACUCCGCCCGGGCUCAGGCCAGCAUCGGUUCUCGCGGGGGGAUAAAGGUCCUGGGAACGUAGCUCCUCCGGGAGUGUUAUAGCCCGGGGCGUAAUGCCCUCGCGGGGACCGAGGUUCGCGCAUCUGCAAGGAUGCUGGCGUAAUGGUCAUCAGCGACCCGUCUUGAAACACGGACCAAGGAGUCAAGGUUUUGCGCGAGUGUUUGGGUGUAAAACCCGCACGCGUAAUGAAAGUGAACGUAGGUGAGAGCUUCGGCGCAUCAUCGACCGAUCCUGAUGUUUUCGGAUGGAUUUGAGUAGGAGCGUUAAGCCUUGGACCCGAAAGAUGGUGAACUAUGCUUGGAUAGGGUGAAGCCAGAGGAAACUCUGGUGGAGGCUCGCAGCGGUUCUGACGUGCAAAUCGAUCGUCAAAUCUGAGCAUGGGGGCGAAAGACUAAUCGAACCAUCUAGUAGCUGGUUACCGCCGAAGUUUCCCUCAGGAUAGCAGUGUUGUCUUCAGUUUUAUGAGGUAAAGCGAAUGAUUAGGGACUCGGGGGCGCUUUUUAGCCUUCAUCCAUUCUCAAACUUUAAAUAUGUAAGAAGCCCUUGUUACUUAAUUGAACGUGGGCAUUCGAAUGUACCAACACUAGUGGGCCAUUUUUGGUAAGCAGAACUGGCGAUGCGGGAUGAACCGAACGCGGGGUUAAGGUGCCGGAGUGGACGCUCAUCAGACACCACAAAAGGCGUUAGUACAUCUUGACAGCAGGACGGUGGCCAUGGAAGUCGGAAUCCGCUAAGGACUGUGUAACAACUCACCUGCCGAAUGUACUAGCCCUGAAAAUGGAUGGCGCUCAAGCGUCCCACCCAUACCCCGCCCUCAGGGUAGAAACGAUGCCCUGAGGAGUAGGCGGCCGUGGAGGUCAGUGACGAAGCCUAGGGCGGAGCCCGUCACUGUCAC